UACGUAGGGUGCAAGCGUUAAUCGGAAUUACUGGGCGUAAAGCGUGCGCAGGCGGUGAUGUAAGACAGUUGUGAAAUCCCCGGGCUUAACCUGGGAAUGGCAUUUGGGACUGCAAGGCUGGAGUUUGGCAGAGGAGACUGGAAUUCCCGGUGUAGCAGUGAAAUGCGUAGAUAUCGGGAGGAAUACCGAUGGCGAAGGCAGGUCUCUGGGCUAUAACUGACGCUCAUGCACGAAAGCGUGGGGAGCAAACAGG
RNAcentral lists this ribosomal RNA (253 nucleotides) under uncultured bacterium. RNAcentral describes it as "partial 16S ribosomal RNA". It matches the Rfam family "Bacterial small subunit ribosomal RNA", at positions 524 to 776 of the family's 1533-position model. The record is from RNAcentral.